Molecule: long non-coding RNA, 3815 nt
Organism: Micropterus dolomieu (smallmouth bass)
Lineage: Eukaryota; Metazoa; Chordata; Actinopteri; Centrarchiformes; Centrarchidae
Exons: 6
Source: RefSeq, a predicted model, not a curated record
AGGUCAGUGUCAUCAUGUGGAAGGAGCCUGUGAAGUGAGCGGAGACCGACACAAACAGCAGAUAGUAGCAUCGCUGAGAGUUGUUCCCCAGUGCUGCUAAUGAUGGCAGUUUAGUUAUAGCAGCAAUGGAGGUGAUCAAUAACGUCACAGCUUCAGAAGGACCAGUUCGCUUCCGUGAAGGCAAGAAAAAGCCUUCAGCGUCAGUUAACCGCUGGGAGGCAUCGAUGUGCCAGCUCCUCCCUGGACGUCAACAAAUCCCAUCCUCUGCCUCCUCUUCCUCUGCUCCGUCAUCUGCAGGAACACAGGAAGUGCAACCUGCAACGACACACAACGCUGGAAGUCAACGUUUUUGCAGGACGCGUUUAAACGACGACCCCAACGUGUCCCUGCUGUGAGCUCAUUGACCCGCCAGACCACCCACCGCAGAUGAAACACGUGGUCUUCAGGAUCUCCUCCUUCUUCUGCUUCUCGCUUCUCAGGUCGGCGAACGUGUCGAUGAUGACGCCAAAGAUCAGGUUCAGGACGAUGAUGAUGACGAUGAAGUAGAAGAGCAGCGGCGCCUUCGGUCUCCGCGGUGCAGCUGACUCCGUCUGUAGAACACGACUUGAGGAAAUCCUGCGAGGCUUCGCUCUGCUGGGGAGCUGAACAACAAAACACACGCAGCCGGUGUUAACACAUCUGGUGCUGACUGGACUUCAAACCAGCGGACUCGAGCUUCAGUGACAGAGUUCCUCAGCCUUUUCUGGAUGCGUUCACAGACCGGAGUCUGUUUUGCGGGACAAUAAAGACUGAGCUCUAUUAACUGACAGCUGAAGUCCACUGGGUUUUAUUUGUCAGGUCUGACAGCAGCUUCACUAAAGAAAUGUGGGGAUUAUGCAACACUAUAUUAGAGCAGUCUACAGGUCCGUCAGACAACUGUAACGUCAGAUGGCACGCGAAAGUCGCAGGUGGAGCAACGGCACAUUUCAUAAUUUUGCAACAAAAGCGCCAACUAGUGGCCGAUUGGCACCAACUUUUGCACAGAGCCUCUGUGGGGAAUGUAAAGGUACUGGCUUAAAUUGCGUGUUAAUUGGACUAAUAUAUGUAGAUAUGACAUCACUUCCUGUUUUGACCAUUUCGUUAUAACCUGCUCAUUUGUUUUCAUGAUCAUGAGGGUCUAAAAAGUCCAAAAAUUUCGUGCAGAUCAGACUCACUGCCUAGGAGUUUGAAAUGCACAUUUGGGGGUGGCGAUGGCGCAGUGGAUAAAUCACAUGCCUUUGGUGUGAGAGACCCGGGUUUGAUUCCCCAUCCACCAAUGUGUCUCUGAGCAAGACACUUAAGCCCUCGUUGCUCCAGAGGCGUGCGACCUCUGACAUGGAGAGCAACUGUAAGUCGCUCUUGGAUAAAAGCGUCAGAUAAAUGUUAAAUUUCACAAUUUUGUGAAACAAAUUAUAGCAACAAUGGGCGUGGUACAUAUCACCAGAUGCAGCUACAUUCGGGGAACGCGUGCAUAUUAGGUAUUUAAAUGUGCAACAUAAUAUGUGGAAGUUAGGGGCCAAACCACAUCUGAGCGCCCCUGGUACUGGGAUCCACGAUUUGCAUGUUUUUAACUUGAGCUGAACCAGGAAGUGCUUUACAGGCGAUCAGUGACAUCAGAUUUAAAGGUGACCGGUGAAGAGAAGCUGAAACAGUUCUUCUAGUGUUUGUUAAAACUUGAGCAGCUGAAGGUUUUUAAACCCUGAAAACAGGCAUGACUUUUACUUUACUGGAACUUUCUAACAAAAGGAUUUACAGGAUGAGGAGUCAGGAGUCAGCGGCGUGUCGUUACCUCCAGCGAUCUGCAGCAGCGGGUCGACCUCCAUGAUGAAAUCUUCCUUCAGGCAGAGGAAGCCGACGAUGGAGAAGAGGUAGACGAGGAUGAGAGCGAGCAGCGCCGUCAGCAGGAUGGAGCGACCGUUGCGCGUCACGCUCUUGAUCACGUUAAACAGAGUCUCCUCCCGGUAGAUCAGGUCGAACAGCUGCAGGGAAAUACAGCAGAAACAGAGAUCAUGGAUGGGAGCUACGGGAGACCUUGCUCCUUUUCUGGUUGUAUGGUGGUGGUGGUGUUUACCAGGAUGCUGUAGAAGAGCUCGUGGACAAACAGUCCCAGUGUGGAGGUCAGGACGUACGCCAGGUGAUACAGGAACUCCACAUCCAUCACCAUGGCCUUGUAUCCCAUAAUAAACGUCCCGUUGUUCCCAACAAAGCUCACUACAAACACCACCUUGUUGAUCAGCUGGAGGUGAACAGGAAAAGAGCAGGUUAGCAGGUUGCUGGUGUUUUAACCAGAAGAGACAAAAACAAGAAACAAUGUGAUUUGAAAUUAUAAGAACUUUAAAGGGCAACUAGGGGUAACAUUUUUUUGUCUAUGUAAGUAAUUGGGAUAACUUUUUAAAAAAACUGGUCCAGUAUUGAGCGCAGAGGAGAAACAGGGCUGCAACGUUCCAUUGAUAAAAAAUUUCAUUUCAUUUUACUUCACAGAACCUGGGAACUGCUGGUUUAAGGCUUGGUGUUCAAAACUACGUCAAAGCUUUCCCAUAAGAGGUUUAGUGUUGAUGAGUAUGCCUCAUAUGCCCAGGGGGUAGAUGGGUAAUGUAGUGUUCCUUACAUUGAGGGAUCCCAGCAGUAUGAGCGUGUUGCCGAUGCCCAGGUGGUAGAUGGAUCUCAGUAUCAGGGCGAGGGUGAGAGGCUGGAGGCCAUAACGCUGAGAGAACAAACCCAACACCGAAAGACCCAUCAGGAUCCAGAACAACAUCAACAGCAGGGAGUCGUCAAUCGCUCCCUCUGAGAGGAAGAGGAGGAGGAGGAGGAGGAGGAGGAGAGACUGAGUUAGUGUGAGCACUGAAAGGCUAGAGGGGUAGAAGAAGGCGAUGAUGAGGUUGAUGAAGACAGCGAGGUUGAAGGAGAUGGUUCCCCACAGAGACAUCCUCCUGGAGAACCAGUACAACACCGGCAUACCUGCAGCAAACCAAGCUUCUUCUGCCACUCCAUCUCUCCGUGCAGGAAGGAGGUUUGUUCGAAGAAGUGCGUGACCUUUGACCCCUGCUCGUCCUGCUCGGUGGUGUUGAAGACUCUCGCCUUUGACUCCUCCGUCAGAAACUCACAGAUGGGAUGAACGGGAAACACGAUCUGCUCCAUGCUGCGGUCCUCGCGAACAAUCUGAAGAGAGGGACGAGUAUUUCAUUGUUAUCAGCCACCUGGACCAGAACCACAUGGAACCAGUACUUCUACAAGCUUAUAGUAGUACUGUAGUAGUAGUAGUCUGCAGUAUUAGUACACUACUGGGGUGUAACAAGGUCACUAACAGCAGAUACAUACAUAUGUGUGUCUAUCUGUUCCUUCUAAAUGUUAUUUAGUUUUCCUUUUUUAUUUCUUCCUUUCCUUUUAUUUAAUUUGUCAUAUUUUAUUGUUUUAUUCUAUUCAAAUAAAAAUAAAAAUAUUUGAACAUUUGUUUCUACAUUUUGUCUGCAGCGUGGAGGAUCCUGGGCUGAUGUCAAUAAAGGUUCAGCUUUAUUGACAACGUUUCAUGAACAGCGACCUGUCUAAUAGGACUAGUAUUCGUGUUGUAAUUUUAUCAGUAGUUUUGGUAUUGGUGCUUUAUCUGUGCAGUCUGCUGGCUGUACUACUGCAGUGGUACAGUAAUAGUAGAACUUUUGCAGCAUAAACAACAGAGUACACUUUAAUUAUUCUGCAUCUUAAAAUCAUUUAGUUACGAAUGAUUUGAUUUUUAUUAUAUACUCUGACAAGACUGAUUUGCUGUAUACUGUAAAAUUUCAAUUAAAAGAGUCACAAUUAGA